This 501-nucleotide unclassified non-coding RNA is filed under the name Corynosoma sp. OTARU2013. RNAcentral describes it as "partial contains ITS1, 5.8S rRNA and ITS2". The stretch from base 296 to 451 matches the Rfam family "5.8S ribosomal RNA". The record is from RNAcentral. Lineage: Eukaryota; Metazoa; Acanthocephala; Palaeacanthocephala; Polymorphida; Polymorphidae.
GAUUGCUGGCAGUACAUCUGAUCAUAUUGUCGAGUUCUGCACGAAUAAUGUUGUCAACUGGGUGUCAACAGUGCCAGAACAUGUCGAUGACGCUGCCAUGUUCGGACGGGGUGGCACGUGUCAGGAGUUUAUGAAUUGAAAGCAUGACUUGUCCGUUGUGGCUGUACAUUCAGCAUAGGCAGCAGAUAUAGAGAUUUUAGCAUUAUCUGUGUGCCGAAAUUGUGUGCGAUGCGGUGUCGCGCAGUUGCGACUGUUGUAUUUUGCGAAGGGUCGCUUGUCUACAUUUACGUGAAUGUUCAGUGUACAGUGAAUCACUAGGCUCGCAGCUCGAGGAAGAGCAUUGCAUUAUGUGAUAACUUCUGUGAAAUGCAGGACACACAGAAUAGAGAUUACUUGAACGCAAAUGACAGUCGCGGGACCUGUGCCCGCGGCUACAUCUGUCUGGGGCGAUAAAAAUAUCCCGGAGUAAAGGUUGGUCACCUUAAAAUUGCUCCGGGCAAA